This 28-nucleotide non-coding RNA is filed under the name Rattus norvegicus (Norway rat). The record is from RNAcentral. Lineage: Eukaryota; Metazoa; Chordata; Mammalia; Rodentia; Muridae.
UACUAGAACCUAGAAGAGGUUAAUGGUA